CACACACACACUGUAGCUCAAUUUUCUUAGGAACUCUUCUACUCUGUGUUGCUUUGGAAACAGUCAAGUCCACAGAAUUGCAGAAUUACUAUGUCUAAGACACAGAUUUGAGAUUGAUUUGUGUGUAACCACUUUUACCUCCACCAGUUUUCUAGGCUGUUCUUGAUAUAUUUUCGUGUGUGUGUGUUUGUGUGUGGUUUUUUGUUUUUGAACUCAGAGCCUAUUACUUGCUAGGCAGAUACUUUUACCACUUUAGCCACAACCUUAGCUCUUUUUACUUUGGUUAUUUUUGGGAUAGAGUAUCAUGUUUAUGUCUUGGCUAUCCUGGACUCUGACCCUCUUAUUUGUACUUCUCAUGCAUCUGGGGUGACAGAGCAUGUGCUAACACAUUAUUGGUGGACUUUUUGCCAGGGCUGGCCUUGGACUUCAAUCCUCCUCCUAAUCUUAGCCCUUCAAGUAGCUAGGAUUACAGAUUGCACCAAGUUAGGCAGUUUUUAUUGCAUAUGAUGGUACUGUGGUGUGUGUGUGUGUGUGUGUGUGUGUGCGCGUGUGCGCGCGCGCACGUGCGCGUGCACGCACUUGAAAGUUGAGAUUGAAUUAAAAAACCUAGUUAGGAAGUUGAAUUUCUGAAGUAGUCAUUUAUGUUCAGUCUGUGUAACUAACGGACAAUUAUCUUUCAGUUUGCUCUGGAAGUUGCUUUAAUGAUUUUCAGAGUAGUGUUUAUGUAUGCCAUCAUUUGCCUAAUUAGCUUUAUAAGGAAAUCCAUGAAGCCUCUUGUCAUAUUGCCAAUAGGGACGACUUUCACUUCUUUGGCGCUUCCUUGAGGUUGGUUUCAGGGACCCCUUUCUGAUCCUGGAUGCUAGCUUUCCAAGUAUGUGUGUGUCGGGGGGCAGGGGGGCUGGGGGUCUUCUUUUAUCCUGGAA
Molecule: long non-coding RNA, 923 nt
Organism: Perognathus longimembris pacificus (Pacific pocket mouse)
Lineage: Eukaryota; Metazoa; Chordata; Mammalia; Rodentia; Heteromyidae
Exons: 3
Source: RefSeq, a predicted model, not a curated record